Molecule: unclassified non-coding RNA, 297 nt
Filed under: Zea mays
Lineage: Eukaryota; Viridiplantae; Streptophyta; Magnoliopsida; Poales; Poaceae
Description: misc RNA Zm00001eb372240
Source: RNAcentral
AAAACACUAGAGCUUUCUCGCGCAUGGCAGCCUCUUCUUCGUCGCGCAAUCACCGGAUCUCCCUCCUCUUCUUCGCGCAAGGCAACAGAUCUCCCUCCUCUUCGCUGGAGCCUGGGCCCGAGGAUCCUGCAAGCCGGCAGCUGGAGAAAGGCGAGCGACAUGGCGACCUCCACAAUGCGGCUGGUGAAGGACGAGAAAGGUGAGCACCUUAGCCUUGUCACAGAUAUUUUUCUUUUUCAUCGAUUAUUUUUCUUUUUCCAUCAAUCAUCGGUGGCUAGUGACCCGCUGCACCCUCUU